This 427-nucleotide unclassified non-coding RNA is filed under the name Hevea brasiliensis (rubber tree). The record is from RNAcentral. Lineage: Eukaryota; Viridiplantae; Streptophyta; Magnoliopsida; Malpighiales; Euphorbiaceae.
CUUUCUCUCUAUAUCUAAAAACAAAAGGAAGUUUCUUUCAUCCAACCUGCAAACUAACUUGGGUUGGUAAGAUUUCAAAUGAGGACUCUAGGAACCCUACCAUUUCCCACACCAAUUCAGUUAUUACUAUACCAGACAGGAAAGAAGAGAUGUUGCAGAUUCAGUUGAACUUUUAGAAAACUAUUACAUGUUAUUGUUAAGUAAGGUAAUCCCACAUUUUUUAAGAUUGGAUCUGAUCAAAAUCCCCUCCCAAGCAGCUUCCCAAGAUAACGUAACAAGAAUUUUUGUUUAUAUAUAUUUAACUAUUGGUACAAUUGAACCCUUAAUUCACAUCCUACCCAAAUGUUGAUCCUACCACAGUACCAAUGUGGUAAAGCAUACUGAAAAAACAGACUUAAAGUAGAUCACUAAAAGUACUUUGCAUACC